Long non-coding RNA from Lagopus leucura (white-tailed ptarmigan), 1771 nucleotides. RefSeq lists it as uncharacterized. The record is from RefSeq and is a predicted model, not a curated record. The transcript is spliced from 4 exons. NCBI's taxonomy places the organism in Eukaryota, Metazoa, Chordata, Aves, Galliformes, Phasianidae.
CCUGGGAAACAUCACUGUCCCAAAAUAAAUCUUUUUCUCCAUUUUCAGGAAGGAGAAUGCAGUAAGGAAAGCAAAAAUGACCAGACUCCAGGAGCAUGGGUGCAGGCAGCCAGCUGUUGCUGAAAACUGUCACUCCUCCAACUUUGAGCGCUCUGAAUACUCAGAGGUUUGUGGGAAAUGAAGACAUAUUGCAACUCCCUGACUUUUUCACUUGGGGCAGUCUCCAAAGCAUAGACCACAACAUCCCCUGAGUCUAAUGAAGAGGAAGACAAAUAAACAGAAGGCACAUGAUAAAAUGAAAGCUCCAUGAGAAUGGCAGACAAGCCGAAGUUUAACCAAGAAAGGAUGGACACGGUCACCAAGUUGGCGCUUGUCUUGAAAGUACCUCAAGAAUGCGCGUAAAACAAAAGCAAUACCUUCAUCUCACAGGCAGCAGCAGAGGAAGAAGGCUGUGUGCAUGCUUCUUUCAUGGCAGAGAGACUCUGAAGCAGAAAUAGCAUCCAGACUCCAAAGAUGACUUCUGGACUCUCUCUGAGAAACCAUCAUUCUUGUCCAGGGAAAAAGUGCAGCAGCUUCUACAAAAGCACAGAAACAUCCAGCUUUAAUACAGAAGAAGGCAGAAUGAUAGACAAAGCCACAAACUGAUGUUUGUGCCUGAUCGCAUGGAAACUCAUCAAGAUUUCUCAUUUUUGUAUCACAAAACUAAUGACAUUUGCACAAAGUUGGCACUGAAAUACCAAAAGAGAAAUUUUUCCCCACAGGAAAGCAUUAUAAAAUGUCACCUGCUUUCCUGCUCCUGCCAUUCAGAAUUUCUGAUCCACAGCAACCAACAGAACUGCUUCAGCAGGAACCAAUGAAGACCUCUUUAACAGUCCAUAUUUAGCACCAGUGUGGAAAGGAAAAAGCCCCAGGAUGAUGAAUAAGAUGGUGGGUAUUACAGUAGCUAAAGGCAUAGACAGAAUUCCAGGAAACUUCGGGAAAACAGUUUCUAGGCCUUACUUAGAAAAACUGUUUGCCAAGUGCCUUAAAAGAAGCUCAAUUUGUGGACCGUGGCUGUUUACCACAGAUGACAGAAAAUCACAUUAGUUAAGAUCUAAUCUCUUCAGCUGAAUUUCAUUUCUGAGACCAAUAAUUCCUGUUCAUAUUUCUCCAGAGAAUUGCCAGGAGCCCUCAUGUGUAACAGCUGGGCAACGAGACAUAUUUUUUGGCUCAGGACACAGUUGCUACAUGAAGUUUUCUAAAUUGUAUUUCUACACAUGCAUUUAUCCAGAAAGAAACCAUUUCCUAUUCAAAACUGUUCUGUAAGCUACAGAUGUCCUAAAUGGAAAUAGUGUAUGCUAUCCGGAUAUCACUUCAUAGAGAUGCUGAUUCAGUCAUGUCAUUUAUGAACUGGCUCAUAUGUGGCCAGCCCGUAGCAUAGGCAGAACAGAGCAUAGGCUCGGCUUUACCUGUAUCUGCUUAUGUAGAUAUGCUUUGGCUCACAAGCGUGGUUUUGUUUUUUGUUUGUUUGUUUGCUGUUCUUUUUUUCCCCCUCAAGAUAAUUUUUAGAGCAAUUUAUCCUUGUAAAUAAAAUAGUAAACUUGAUCUCAGUUCACACAUACAGAUUCCAAAUCUUGAUGAAUCUCAUUUUCCAGUCACAAAGUCUAUGUGAGUACAGUUAUUCCACUUUCAGCACACAGCAGGUUGAAUAAAACCUUUAGUCAGACAUGAAUAUUUUAAGGUAUUUUUUUAAAUCAGACAAUAGAUGUUUUUAGUGUGGUUUAGAGAUAGC